Molecule: ribosomal RNA, 305 nt
Filed under: uncultured bacterium
Lineage: Bacteria
Description: bacterial SSU rRNA
Rfam family: Bacterial small subunit ribosomal RNA
Source: RNAcentral
ACCUCCUUUGCGCAGCAGUGGGGAAUAUUGCCCAAUGGGGGAAACCCUGAUUCCUCUCCGCCGCGUGAGCGAUGAAGUAUUUCGGUAUGUAAAGCUCUAUCAGCAGGGAAGAAAAUGACGGUACCUGACUAAGAAGCCCCGGCUAACUACGUGCCAGCAGCCGCGGGAAUACGUAGGGGGCAAGCGUUAUCCGGAUUUACUGGGUGUAAAGGGAGCGUAGACGGUCCUGCAAGCCAGAUGUGAAAGCCCGGGGCUCAACCCCGGGACUGCAUUUGGAACUGUAAGGCUAGAGUGUCGGAGAGGCG